Molecule: ribosomal RNA, 119 nt
Organism: Lepisosteus oculatus (spotted gar)
Lineage: Eukaryota; Metazoa; Chordata; Actinopteri; Semionotiformes; Lepisosteidae
Source: Ensembl
AUCAGCAGCCAUAUCACCCUGCAACUCACAACUGGCAACCCACUGAAGCUAAGCAGGUGUGAGCCUGGUCAGUACCUGGAUGGAAGACCUCCUGGAAAAAACUAAGGUUGCUGCUGGAA